This 497-nucleotide ribosomal RNA is filed under the name uncultured bacterium. RNAcentral's name for it is "partial 16S ribosomal RNA". It matches the Rfam family "Bacterial small subunit ribosomal RNA", at positions 28 to 507 of the family's 1533-position model. The record is from RNAcentral.
GAUGAACGCUGGCGGCGUGCCUAAUACAUGCAAGUCGAGCGAACAGACGAGGAGCUUGCUCCUCUGACGUUAGCGGCGGACGGGUGAGUAACACGUGGAUAACCUACCUAUAAGACUGGGAUAACUUCGGGAAACCGGAGCUAAUACCGGAUAACAUGUUGAACCGCAUGGUUCAACAGUGAAAGACGGUCUUGCUGUCACUUAUAGAUGGAUCCGCGCCGCAUUAGCUAGUUGGUAAGGUAACGGCUUACCAAGGCAACGAUGCGUAGCCGACCUGAGAGGGUGAUCGGCCACACUGGAACUGAGACACGGUCCAGACUCCUACGGGAGGCAGCAGUAGGGAAUCUUCCGCAAAGGGCGAAAGCCUGACGGAGCAACGCCGCGUGAGUGAAAAAGGUCUUCGGAUCGUAAAACUCUGUUAUUAGGGAAGAACAAAUGUGUAAGUAACUAUGCACGUCUUGACGGUACCUAAUCAGAAAGCCACGGCUAACUACGUG